Molecule: ribosomal RNA, 252 nt
Filed under: uncultured bacterium
Lineage: Bacteria
Description: partial 16S ribosomal RNA
Rfam family: Bacterial small subunit ribosomal RNA
Source: RNAcentral
UACGUAGGGUGCAAGCGUUGUCCGGAAUUAUUGGGCGUAAAGAGCUCGUAGGCGGUUUGUCGCGUCGAAUGUGAAAACCCGGGGCUCAACCCCGGGCCUGCAUUCGAUACGGGCAGACUAGAGUUCGGUAGGGGAGUCUGGAAUUCCUGGUGUAGCGGUGAAAUGCGCAGAUAUCAGGAGGAACACCGGUGGCGAAGGCGGGACUCUGGGCCGAUACUGACGCUGAGACGCGAAAGCGUGGGAGCGAACAGG